CACUCGAUUUCACCAAGGGGAACUGGAAAGAUGUGGAAAGUGCUGGGGUUUCCCCUUCCAAGCCCCGGUCAGCCUGGAGCCGCAAGGCGACAUCAUAAUAAUCACCGCCAUUUAAUGGAUAGUGCCUAAGUGCCAAGGACUCCCACAGGUUAUCCAGUGUCAGCGAUCCCUUCCCAGCCAGCCAGAGAGCUCUUUAAGUUCACGGACAGGCUCCCAUGUCCUGACUUCUCCCCAUACUCCCUGCAGUGUACUGCCUCAGGAUCCCCACUUGGAAACCCAAGAGGCAUCCCCAACUACCAUGCCCAACGCCGAACUUCUGGAUCUCCCCAAACCUUCUCCUCGCAUGCUUUUUCUCGUGGCAGAAGUGGCAACCCCAUCCUUCCCGUAAGUCCGUCCAAAACUCUGAUAUUAUCAUUCCUCUUCCCCUUGCCUCAUUUGCUGUAUCGAAUCCACCCGAUCUACCUUCAAGCAGAUCUGGGGUCUGCCUACUUCUCACCACCUCUGCCGUUGCCCCCUGACCUGCGCCCCAUUCUCUCCUGCCUGGGUCACUGUGAUUGCCUCCCGACCGGUGGCCCGGCUCCUGCCCCGUGAAGUCUGUCUCCCCACCCAGCAACCAGAGUGAUCCUAGGAGAAGCAGGGCUCUGCCGCUUGUGAGCACCUGCCCCCAUCUGCUGAGAGUGUGUCGACCACACGUAAGAGGAUCCCUGGGGGACACCUGGCUGGCUCAGUCAGUACAGCAUGCAACUCUUGAUCUAAGCCUCGCGAGCUCCUGCCCCAGCUCUUCUGUCCGAUCUCAGGCUUCCUCCCCCGUGACCACGACCGUGUGACCAUGACGGCUCUGCUCUGUGGCAGCUGACCUUUCUGACCACUAUCUAACACCCCCUCUGUCUUCCUCUGGUCUCGCUGACAUAUUCUCUCCAGCCCUUCCCACUCACCCUUCCAACACCCUCCACUCACUCUCCCAGACCACGCUUUCAACUCUCCGUCCUUCCCACCCUCCCCCAGCUGCCCUUUCUCUCCCAGGACUUAACCAGGACGCCCAAGACUGCAUUCAGCGAACACUCUUCUGAGUCCUGGACCAAUAAAAGCCCUGACCUCCCAACACUUCCUCAGAUGCCAGAUGUCACAGCCCGAUGUCAUCCUCUUUCUCCCCAGGCAUCCCCGUCCCCCUGGUUGCUAAGGCAGAAGUGUCCGAUGCAUUCAGAUGCCCCCCACGGCUUCCCAGCCUCCCUCCCAAGACCUUCUAACCUGUCUCUGGAGCCUCUCCUACCACUUAAAUGGCCCUCUCCCAGAGCAGCCCCACCCCUCCUCAGUUCCGGCCCUAAUUUCCUCUCACCAGACCCUUUCUCCACCGAGUGGCCCGAGUGACGGCUUUAAACACAAAUUGGAUCAAGACACCACCUGCUCGAAACCCUGCACAGCUCCUCAUGACUCUCUGGUGCAGUGCACAUCCCUUACUUAGCCCGUGGACUCACGACGGAGCCCUCCUCUGCCCCUCCGUCUCCCACCCCUUCCAACUCUCCCCUAUCUAGUCUGUCUUCCAGGUUUUCAAAAUAGUUUCAUUGAAGUGUAAUUUAUAGGUAAUAAAACUCACUCAUCCUAGGUGUGGAGCUUGAUGGAUGUGGAUAAUUGUGUACAGUUAUAGGCACAUGGCGGUUGCCCUAAAGGUCCCCUGAGUCCCUUUGCAGUCACUCUCCUAGCCCCAGGCAGCCACUGAUUUGCCUUAUGUCACUAUCGCUUUGUCUUUUCCAUAAUUUUAUAUAAAUGAAAUUACUGUUUGUAAUCUC
Neofelis nebulosa (Clouded leopard) is the source of this 1787-nucleotide long non-coding RNA. RefSeq lists it as uncharacterized. NCBI's taxonomy places the organism in Eukaryota, Metazoa, Chordata, Mammalia, Carnivora, Felidae. The transcript has 3 exons. The record is from RefSeq and is a predicted model, not a curated record.